Molecule: regulatory RNA element, 85 nt
Organism: Paenibacillus pectinilyticus
Lineage: Bacteria; Bacillati; Bacillota; Bacilli; Caryophanales; Paenibacillaceae
Rfam family: c-di-GMP-I riboswitch aptamer
About the family: GEMM was predicted in a large-scale screen for bacterial structured RNA regulatory elements. Genes associated with GEMM are involved in a diverse array of functions, including chemotaxis regulation, signal transduction, secretion and chitin.
Source: Rfam
UACUGAAAAUGGCAAACUUACCGAAAGGUAAGGGCGCAAAGUUAUGGGCCUAAAGCUUCAAAGCUAUGGCUGCCAAACCGCCAGU